Molecule: ribosomal RNA, 497 nt
Filed under: uncultured bacterium
Lineage: Bacteria
Description: partial 16S ribosomal RNA
Rfam family: Bacterial small subunit ribosomal RNA
Source: RNAcentral
GACGAACGCUGGCGGCGUGCCUAAUACAUGCAAGUUGAGCGCUGAAGGUUGGUACUUGUACCAACUGGAUGAGCAGCGAACGGGUGAGUAACGCGUGGGGAAUCUGCCUUUGAGCGGGGGACAACAUUUGGAAACGAAUGCUAAUACCGCAUAAAAACUUUAAACACAAGUUUUAAGUUUGAAAGAUGCAAUUGCCUCACUCAAAGAUGAUCCCGCGUUGGAUUAGCUAGUUGGUGAGGUAAAGGCUCACCAAGGCGAUGAUACAUAGCCGACCUGAGAGGGUGAUCGGCCAAAUUGGGACUGAGACACGGCCCAAACUCCUACGGGAGGCAGCAGUAGGGAAUCUUCGGCAAUGGACGAAAGUCUGACCGAGCAACGCCGCGUGAGUGAAGAAGGUUUUCGGAUCGUAAAACUCUGUUGGUAGAGAAGAACGUUGGUGAGAGUGGAAAGCUCAUCAAGUGACGGUAACUACCCAGAAAGGGACGGCUAACUACGUG